CACGAGUGGCGAACGGGUGAGUAACACGUGAGUAACCUGCCCACAACUUUGGGAUAACGCUAGGAAACUGGUGCUAAUACUGGAUAUGUGCUCCUGCUGCAUGGUGGGGGUUGGAAAGCUCCGGCGGUUGUGGAUGGACUCGCGGCCUAUCAGCUUGUUGGUGGGGUAGUGGCCUACCAAGGCGGCGACGGGUAGCCGGCCUGAGAGGGUGACCGGCCACAUUGGGACUGAGAUACGGCCCAGACUCCUACGGGAGGCAGCAGUGGGGAAUAUUGCACAAUGGGCGCAAGCCUGAUGCAGCAACGCCGCGUGCGGGAUGACGGCCUUCGGGUUGUAAACCGCUUUCAGCAGGGACGAAGCUUUUUGUGACGGUACCUGCAGAAGAAGCACCGGCUAACUACGUGCCAGCAGCCGCGGUGAUACGUAGGGUGCGAGCGUUGUCCGGAUUUAUUGGGCGUAAAGGGCUCGUAGGCGGUUGAUCGCGUCGGAAGUGGAAACUUGAUGCUUAACGUUGAGCGUGCUUUCGAUACGGGUUGACUUGAGGAAGGUAGGGGAGAAUGGAAUUCCUGGUGGAGCGGUGGAAUGCGCAGAUAUCAGGAGGAACACCAGUGGCGAAGGCGGUUCUCUGGACCUUUCCUGACGCUGAGGAGCGAAAGCGUGGGGAGCGAACAGGCUUAGAUACCCUGGUAGUCCACGCUGUAAACGGUGGGUACUAGGUGUGGGGUCCAUUCCACGGAUUCUGUGCCGUAGCUAACGCAUUAAGUACCCCGCCUGGGGAGUACGGGCCGCAAGGGCUAAAACUCAAAGGAAUUGACGGGGCCCCGCACAAGCGGCGGAGCAUGCGGAUUAAUUCGAUGCAACGCGAAGAACCUUACCUGGGUUUGACAUGGAUCGGGAGCUUCCAGAGAUGGUUGUGCCUCUUUUGGGGUCGGUUCACAGGUGGUGCAUGGCUGUCGUCAGCUCGUGUCGUGAGAUGUUGGGUUAAGUCCCGCAACGAGCGCAACCCUCGUCCACUGUUGCCAGCAAUUCGGUUGGGGACUCAGUGGAGACCGCCGGGGUCAACUCGGAGGAAGGUGGGGAUGACGUCAAGUCAUCAUGCCCCUUAUGUCCAGGGCUUCACGCAUGCUACAAUGGCCGGUACAGUGAGUUGCGACAUCGUAAGGUGGAGCGAAUCUCAAAAAGCCGGUCUCAGUUCGGAUUGGGGUCUGCAACUC
This 1214-nucleotide ribosomal RNA is filed under the name Cutibacterium granulosum. RNAcentral's name for it is "bacterial SSU rRNA". It matches the Rfam family "Bacterial small subunit ribosomal RNA", at positions 90 to 1313 of the family's 1533-position model. Lineage: Bacteria; Bacillati; Actinomycetota; Actinomycetes; Propionibacteriales; Propionibacteriaceae. The record is from RNAcentral.